RNAcentral lists this long non-coding RNA (1140 nucleotides) under Panax ginseng (ginseng). RNAcentral's name for it is "long non-coding RNA (PGIN_LNC002070)". Lineage: Eukaryota; Viridiplantae; Streptophyta; Magnoliopsida; Apiales; Araliaceae. The record is from RNAcentral.
AUUUUUCGUAGAUCUAGAUCUGAAGAGUUGAGACUUUGAGUUUUGAGAGCAGAGAGUCUAAGAGUAAGAGAGUUCGAUUGUGAAGAAGAAGACGACGACGACACGACGACGACGACUCACAUGAGUCGAGAAGGCGACUCGCACGGCAACGGAAGUUCCGCCAUGUGACUGAAUUUGAUCUGGAUCUGGUUAAAGCAAAUGAUAAUUUUCUGUCUCAAGGUCAUGGAAGAGGUGGAACAGGGGGUGGGAAUUCAUGAGCUCUGCCAUGGGGAGGUAAAUAUAUCAAAUUUCUGAAUGAUCAAAUGAGGAACGUAUAUAUUUUGUGAUAUUAAUUUUAAUGUUUAUGGUUAACAGGUUUGAUGAGUUUGUUUAAUGAAAUUAUUGAUGGUCUACUGUGUUACACAAUUAUUAUGUACCUCUACUGUCUUGUAUAUUGGAUUAGCUGUACUUGAUAUAACAGGAUCAAAAUUUAGAUUGUGUAAGAUUAUUUAUGGAUUUCGAAGUUAGAUUUUUAUAAUAUUAUUUUAUUUUCUUCAAAUUUUUUGCUGUGUAGCUUAGAAAAAAUCAUGUAUAUAUUGGUAAAUAGGAUGCCAUGUUUUAUGUUCUCUCGUUUCUUUUUCUGUUUUGUCUUCUUUUAUCAUUAAAACACCUUAUUUUAAGUAAAUAAAUGUUGAUAUAAUAUUGAUCAGAUAUUUUUUCUCACGAAAGACGAAACCUUCAGGAAGACGACCACGACGAUUGAAUUUGAACUAUUGAUAUUUUAAAUUGGCAUUUUUCAUGUAAGCAUUUACAGAUUUCACUUAUUAUUUGGACUUAUGUUUUGUUAUGUUUUCCUUAUUGUGAUAUACGUCUGUUGAUGGUAAUUUUGUUGCUGCAGAUAUGAUUGCAAUUUGCAAGUAUGCAUUUGGAUGGUGACAUGAAUGAAAUGAAUAGUUUUUGUUUGAAUUUGUAAUUCUGUAUUUGGAUUUUGGAGCUUAUUUUUGUAAUUUUGUGAUUUGUAUUAUUGUAUGUAAAUUGUAAUAUACUAAUAUGUUACUGUUACAACAACUUAGAUUUGUGAUUUAUAGAUUUUUUUUAAAAAAAAAUUAAAUGAAAAAGCCCGCGGAUCGGGCCGAGCCGGCCCAAUCCGGGCCACAGGCC